AUUGAACGCUGGCGACAGGCCUAACACAUGCAAGUCGAGCGCGAAAGUCUUCGGAUGAGUAAAGCGGCGAACGGGUGAGUAAUGCAUGGGAAUCUGCCUGGUAGUGGGGGACAACGUCUCGAAAGGGACGCUAAUACCGCAUACGCCUACGGGGAAAGGGGGGGAUCUUCGGACCUCUCGCUAUCAGAUGAGCCCAUGUCAGAUUAGCUAGUUGGUGAGGUAAAGGCUCACCAAGGCGACGAUCUGUAACUGGUCUGAGAGGAUGAUCAGUCACACUGGAACUGAGACACGGUCCAGACUCCUACGGGAGGCAGCAGUGGGGAAUAUUGGACAAUGGGGGCAACCCUGAUCCAGCCAUGCCGCGUGUGUGAAGAA
This 375-nucleotide ribosomal RNA is filed under the name uncultured bacterium. RNAcentral describes it as "bacterial SSU rRNA". It matches the Rfam family "Bacterial small subunit ribosomal RNA", at positions 30 to 412 of the family's 1533-position model. The record is from RNAcentral.